This 23253-nucleotide long non-coding RNA is filed under the name Gallus gallus (chicken). RNAcentral's name for it is "lncRNA (ENSGALG00010014101.1)". The record is from RNAcentral. Lineage: Eukaryota; Metazoa; Chordata; Aves; Galliformes; Phasianidae.
CUUAUUUUCAGUUAUUUGAACAAUGAAUGUAAAUAACAAGAUCCUUCUGGCAGCAAGGCAGAAGAAAUGUGCUUACUUCAUACUAUGCAGAAGACCCUGGAAACUCAGAUUCACCACCUGGCUCUGAAUACUGCAGAACUACAGUGCAAAAGGACAAUGAAAUAAACUGAGUGUUGUAGACUCUAUGGAUCACCAGUGAAGAACUCUGAAAAAAUCUUCAAGUUAAAACUGUUGUUGCCCCACUGGUCAGAAAUAGUAUACUGUAGAAAUAAAUCAACUACUAGGAAAACAGGUCAAAAUUAUAGAGUCCAAAACCAAAGGAAGAGAUAAUAGGGUAAUAUACUCAAGGAAAACGAAACAGUUCUUUAUGGAUUCUUGACCUACAUUCAAGUAAAAUGCUACUUUUCAACUGCUCUUAAAUCUGUUUUCAGCUUUAUUCUAGAAAGCGUAUCGCAGUUCCUGCAAUCCUUGACUGCUGGAACACAUCUGCUACUUUAGUUUCUAAAAGGCUGUGAUUGCAGAAUUCUAGACACUUGGCAGAAAUGUCUGUGUUAAAUGGUGAAAACAUUCGUAAUCUAGAGAACAGCCAUAUUUGUUACAGCCUUGGAAGAGCUACUAAACACAGAGAAAUUAUUUGCAAUUAAGAUCAAGUAGCUGUCUUGACACUUUAAUUACAGUACACAUUUUGUUUUUCCUUUUGUGAUCAAUUGCACAUUUUUCCUUCUUUUUUUCCUCCCGUCCUCUUUACUGAGACCUUUUCAUUUAAUCUGUUUUCUUUGAAUGCUUUGUGUUCAUUCCAUUUCAUGUUUCCAUUUUUAACAUCUGUUAGUCCAUAUUCUGAGGAAAAAAAAAAAAAGCACCAUAUUUAUCUCUAUAUUUCAAAGAUCUAUCUAGAAAAAUUACUUUUCCAUGUUUUAGGUUAAGCCUGAAUGAACUAUUUCCUCUGAUAUUAAAAUUUCUGACUCACAUUUUUUUGGACAUGCUUUGUAUGACUCUUCAGACUCAUGCUGAGUUUAUUACCAUUCACAGAUAUUCCAUAUUUAAUCUUAAUCCUUCCAUCCUUUGGAAAUGGAAAACUUAUACAAAAUCAUAGAGCAAAAUAAUUAUUCAGAUGUGACUGAAACGCAAGGAUCCAAGGUUGCUACCUUUUAUAACUGUCCUGUGGAUCUUGUCGUAACAAGUAGAUCUUUAAAAGUCCCUGCUUUCAGGUCUUGUAAAUACCCGUCAACAUAGAUCCAUGACACUCUGAGUGCUCAGAGUGUACUCGCCUUGAAAACAGAAGCAAAAGAUACAAAACACUCAACUGUGCUUUCUAUUGCAUUUCUUAAUUCUUUUUGAACCACUUGUACUAUUUUAGGGUGUCUGACAGACAGCAUUUUGACACUGUGUGUGUGACGAUUCUGAUUGCAGUUCCUUUUACUGUCCGGACCUUCAGUACUGAGGACCCACUGGUUUUGCCAAUUCUUUCAGUUGGAAGAAUCAAGACAAAUUAUCAGUCUUGAAUAUUUUCUGUUUGAGCUUUGUGAUAGCAUUUUACUGCAGAUUUCUUAAUAUGAGUGGGGCUUUUUUAAUGCUUGAUGAUUUAUGAAGCCACAAAGCCAUUCAGCACAAACAUUUUCAAGCAUCAUAGCAACAUAUAACCUAAUUAGUACAUUUGAGGGCAGUGAAAACUGCAAAAGAAGCAGACAUCAGUCACUAAAGCAAUGGAUUGAUUUUUCAGUGUGCAUUUGAAGUACUUUUAUCAAUACAAUGCGUUAGUGCUUUUGGGCUAUGUCAUUCUCCAGUCUGCUCUUUGCUGGGUAAAUGUCAAUAGAAAGCAUAAUAACCAAACUUAACGCUUUUCAUCAACUGUAAGUAACAUGCUACUAUCACUGUGUGUUCUUCGGCGGUCAAGGGACUACAGACAAGCAGGAGGAACUGGAAAAUGUCAGUGAUACAGUGACAUGGGUUAUAUCAAGUAACUAAUUUACCCUUCUUGUACUUUUUUUAGUCCUUUUGAUUUCCCCUUCCUUCUCUCCUUUCCAGAAGGGACAGGGAGAUAGACACACCCAGCGUAUACAGAGCUUUUCCUUGCUCUUCAAACUGGAAAAUGCUUGAAUAAACAGUUCUUGAUUCAAAUAAUUUGGUAAUGUUCCCCAGUGCCAAUGUGAGGCUAAGUUUAACCAAAUCUAAACAGGAACUGAAACAUCUAAAAUAGAAUUCUGCAAUAUAUGAAUCACCUAAUUCAAACAUCCUUCUGUGUUAAAGUUCAAGAUAAUGGGGUUUCUUUAUAUAUUAAAACUAGAAAAGUUAUCAUGGGGGAAAGCCAGAUUCAUGGCCUUCUGUAGAGCAUAAACGUUCAUGCUUUGUUUUGCUUAAAUGCACCAUCAAUAAAAACACAGAUGAGGGUCUUCCAGUGGUAUCCAUAGUUUCUUUCAUGCCCUUGGGGUGCCAAAAAGUUAUCUCAGGUGAGGAUCACGUAAUCUGUUAGCCAGAACCCUGCUCCAGGUAGAUGUGAAAAAGGCUGACCCAAAAUUGGGAUAGUACAUGAGAUAGAAAUUUUUCAUUAAGUUAAAUGUACGGCUUCAGACAGACACAAGAUGAAUGAACAGUCUGAUAAAAAUCUUUAAAUCAAACUGAAAUAAAUAAGGAACAGACUUCGUGACACAGAACUUUGAAAAUUAGUCUUAAUCACUAAGAAUUUUCCUACCAAACUAUGAUUUUCUCGUUAUGAGAAAAUAGUAACUUUUCAAAAUCAUGAAGAAAUAUUUUUAUAUGCCAUGAGGUGGGCUUUAAAAUAGAAAAUAAUUUUAUAAAUUAUUUGUAAGUCUAUGAAUUAUAAAAGCGUGUAGUUCCUUUCUAUAAAUAAAAUAAAAUAAAAUAAAAUGCAAUAAAGCAAAACCCACAGACUUAAUGAAUGAAGACCUAGAUUAUAAAUGUUACUUAGCAUAGCCUAGCAAUACUCAAAGCACAUUAUUUCCUGACUGGCUGAGCCAAAGGAUUAUCGUCAAGAGAAUGUUUUCCCUUUUAGUAGAGUUUAAGUAGUGAAAAUAAUAUUUAGAACAACCUUAUGCACAACAGAGCAAGAUGACUUUUGCUUGGUAACUGUUUAGCUAAGCUCAACUGCUCUGGGCUUCACUUUGAAGUAAGGCCAUCAGACCUCACCAGGGACAUCUGCGGUACUCAACAGACCCUGAGAAAGCUUUGAGCUAGCUUAAACUUUAACUUUUAGUAGAAAUGGAAGCUGUCUGGGGGGUCCUAGGUGAGAUUCUGUAUUAAUAAAUCCACAUAGAUCAAGCAGGUGGUGCUGCCUGUGAUGACCACUUUUGCUUUGUUUAUACCUACCUACUCAUGACUGUGGGGUAUGGUUAGACUUAGUGUUGGAUGACUUCUUAUUUGUCUAAGUGUAGGAUGACUCAGUUCUGGCUCCAGUGAGGUCCUCUCUGACUGUCAUGUGACUAUGAAUUUGCUGUUUGUUCUGCUGGAACUGGAAUAGCAAAUUGUUCAGGGAAGACUGCAACAGUUUCUAUGACUGAGUGUCAUACAGGAGCUGAAGGGUAUAAGGAAAAGGAGGGGUAGGUAGGGGCGUGUGGAGAGAGAGAACAUAAUACAGUCUUUGUUCACAAAACAGGUAGUUGAAGGAGUACUGGAGGUGAAAUGCUUUAGUAACUUGCUUCAAGCUGACAAGGUUAUGCCAUUGCUGCCUCUACUGAGAAAAUAUCUGAGUUCUGGCUACAAGAAGUUUAGUUAAUUUUUUAUUUGGCUGUUUUUUAUCCCACUGAAUUUUGGAAUUUCAAACAACUUCCCAAGUUUUAUUUUGUUCCUACCAUCUAUCAUUCUUGUAUAAGAUGUGAAGAGAAUUCUCCCAACAUUUUGAAAGGAAAGAAACUGCAAUAAAUACCUGACUUAAAAGCUUGUGUCCUUUGAUGUGAGUAUUCACCGAGGUCAGUGAAAUGUAAAUAUCGAUUCAUGCCUUGGGAAUGUGGAAUUAAAAUCAUGCUUAAUGUUUUUCAUUAGCGUCUUCAUUAUAGUUUGUUCCUCUUCUUUCAAUUCAUUCUUCCCAUACCCUCAGUUUGGAGGAGGGCCACGAAAAUGUUUUGGAAGAAAAACAAAAUAUUAUGAGAAAAGACCUUAAAUAUAUAAAAAUUAGAAUUCUUCCCCCCCCCCCCCCCCCACCCCCUGUUUCUUCUCCCAUCUCUCUUCCUAAGACAAGAAACAAAAACAAGCAUUCAUUCUAGGGGGAUAAUUGUGUAGCUUUUGAUCUAAGGUCACAAAGACAAACAUGGGCCAUUUGUCUAAGUACUUGACAUACAUCGCUAUAUUAGAGAGCUUUCCAGUUAGAAUCUUUCAUGCCUGCCAUGCAAGGGAGAUACAUCUUCCAUCUUGAAGAUGAAUCAGUUGAGGUAUUCUUAGACCAGGUAGCUUGUUUUACCUCACAAAAUAAAGAAACAGAUCCUCAGGACAAAAGGCAAACAGUGUAUUUAGAGACCUUGAGCUAGAUAAAAUGAUGAAUUUAAACAACACUAAAACAUCUUUAGUCAUACUUCUCUCAUUUUUUUCCUCAAGUACUUGAAGUGACAUUUCUUUUCAGAGAGGUUCAUUAGAACCAACUGGCACCUGCUUUAGGUGCACGACCUGUACAGGGAUGACCAAUCCAUAAGUCUUGAACUACAGCUUUCCAGUGUUUGUAUGGGGUGUGUGUCCCAUGGCUGUGCUGGCCUAGAGAAGGUCUGGUGGCAGCUUCCAUCCCACCUGUGAGUGGAAGUGAACUACUGCCAGCAGGCUGUCACAGUGAAAACAUGCAGUUUUUCAAAGGCUCUGAGCAUCCACCAGUAAAAGGUUUGCUGGUGACCCUGUAUGGAGCUGUUUCAUAAAACCUGAAUAAGUUAAAAAAGAAUGGAGUGUGAAGAAACUUGGAAACAUUUGCUUGCUUCCUGCCCCUAGGAGCUCAGCCUGUAGGCUUGAUUAGAUUGCCAGUCUGAGUCACAUAAUUCUCCCUCAGUAAUGAUUGCAGGCAUCUAAUUCCGUGUUCUCAGCUAGGAGCUGGUUGUUAGAUCCAAGGCAGUGAAGUUAGCUCAGAGACACCUCGGUCCUGUUCUGGAUGUGGCCAAUGGGAAGAGCAGUCCCAACCUUCAAUCCCUGUGGGGCAGGCCAAUAGUUCAGCCAGGCAAUUCAUUUUGCAACCAUUUAAAGAUCACCCCUGAGGGGUUUAUUGUAGAAUAAAAACAGAGAUUAACCUUAAAUUAGCUUGGCCAAAUUUGACCAUUUAAGCAGCAGUAGGAUUUUUAUUGUGUUUGGGCUUGUAUCAGUCACACAUUCCUAUGGUUAACUUAGUUACACAAGCUCCUAAAAAAAAUAAAAUAAAAAUAAAAAUCAGGUAAACAUGCACUGACUAUGAUCUAUAUGUUUACUCCACAUUUUGGAAAGCUGAAACACGAGGACAUUGAAAAUACUGUGAUAAUUCUGAUUUACUGACAAGUCUUUUGCAUUUAAGGCAUUUCUGCUGGGAAUUCUACCGAGAACUUUCCAAGUUUCAGCCCCUGUGCAGUGUCAGUGAACUAUGGACCAGCACCAAUGUGCUAUCUGCAGCAGUCAGAUUGAAUCUUUGCUUUAUUUAUAUUGCUUCUGAUACUGAAGUGAUGUUUCCCAUUGUUCAUUUCUCCAGACAGGAAGAAAUGAACCUCCCAGCCUAUUUACAUCCACUGGCAAUAAAAACACAUUUUAAUGAGAAAAUGAAAUAUUUGGACUUUAGACUUUAGGCAUCAGUGUAUCAUUUCUGGCAGCUGUGCUUUUAUUCACUCUUACUCUGAUUGAAACUUCAAUGACAGCAGCCAGGAUCCUCCCCUUCUGUUCAGCUUUUCCAUACAAGGCAAAAUGAAAUAGAUGUCUCUAAAGAUAGACCAUACUAUUCUGAACCCUUUCUUUUUUUUCAUGAGAUCAUGUCAAUAAAGAGAAUGAAAAGAUCAUUCCUACCUUUACUCUUUAUGAGCUAAAGAACUUCAGAAAUUUCAGUAUUUUUUCUGUUUCUACAAAUUUGUGUUGUUCCUCUUUCCUUUUAAAUGUAUGAUUCUUAGCUUAUUUUAUCACACAAUGCAAUGUUAUUUGUUAGAUUAGUUUUCAUUAAAAAAAAAAAAACACAAAAAACAAAAGAGUGUUAUUUAACUGUUCUAUAAGGUUUUAAAACUAAUGGUCCAAUUCACGGGUAGUAAAACAACAGUGAUUCAUAUCUCUCUUUGUAAGCAAUGUAACCCAAAGACCAUUAGGCAGCUCUGGUUUUGAUAGGGCUUUUCUUUUUUUUUUCCGCAGGCAUAAUGACUCCAGAGAGACCAAACGUAACAGUCACCAGUUGGGCUGCUUUCUUUUCCAUUCCAGUUUCACACAACAAAGGGAUCUGCAGAUUUUAUUUGUUAUUUAUUUAGACUCUAAGAAAGCCCGGUUUAAAAUAUUAUCCUGUCCAGUAUGCGUUUCUGCUAAUGGCAGCUCAGAGUAAAUGUGCUGUUUUCCCUCCCUGAGACUGUGAAGUAAGGUCGCCCACAGUGUAAACACACUGAAAUACGCAGCAAUAAUCAGAAUCAUAAGAUCACAGAAUGGCUUAGGUUGGAUGGGCCUUAAAGAUCAUCUAGUUCCAACCCCCUGCCAUUGGCAGGGCUGCCACCCACCAGCUCAACUGCCCAGGGCCCCAUCCCCACUGGCUUUGAGCACCUCCAGAGAUGGGCACCCACAGCUCUCUGGGCAGCCUGUGACAGCGCCUCACCACCCUUUAAACAAAAACUUUCUUCCAAACAUCUAACCUAAAUCUCCCCUCUUUUAGUCUAAAGCCAUCUCCCCUUGUCCUGUUGCUAUCAGACCUUGUAAAAAGUCAAUCUCCCUCCUGCUUGCCAGUUCCCUUCAAUUAGUGGAAGAUUGCACAAGAGUUUAGCCUUCUCUAGUUAAAGCUAGUGAGGAUUUUGUUGAUGGGAGCUGGCUAUAAUGGAAUACAAAUCAGGAACUAAAACAUUAUUUUUUGACUUUGAGCCAAAUCUAAAAGAUACUAUAGCUCUGCACCAGUCCAAAGCUGCAAGCUCAAAAAGCUUCACUUCCUUGCACCUACUUUUGUGUUUGCCUGACAUGCUGAGACACUUUUCCAGGUGGAUGAAGCUCUCAGCACCUAUAAAGAGCUACAGUAUGGCCACGUCUGUCUAACUGAGCCAGAAUGUGACAAGUCCUUGUGCAGUUUCUCCAGCCUGUAGACGUUACUGGAGUGAAUGGAAAGUCUCUGGGUAAGUUUCCUUGUUAAAAUGCAGUUAUAGUUCCCUUUGCCUUUAGGACUUUGGAAAAGAAAGGGCUUGUGAUGGUUGUUUUCCAUGUAGUGGUGGUACUGCUGAGGCUUCUUUCCAGCAAGUGGAUGACCCAGGUUUAUACUCGUCUGAGCAGGAAAGCCCCUUUUCCAAAUAUUUCAGGCGAAUAUCCUAAUCAGUAAGAUGGGAAAUCAAAGAAGGAAGCAGAUUAUGAUGUUUUAAAGGGGAACACCUGCAUCUAAUGCCUUCUCCAGGGACUGCACCAUAAGCAAGAUCAUGUUUGAAUAGCACAAAUGCUAUUCCUCUGCCGCUGUUUGAAAACAGGAUAUGAGAACGAGACUCAGUUACUCAACAAGACCUAUGGGUAUCUGGUUUUGGGAAACUUCUCUGGGCUGGGUCUCCAAAAGUUCUGCAGCCUGUUGACCGGCAAGAAGCAUCCCUGCACUAUGGGGUGGCCACAUUUAAUACUUCCCCAGUGUAACACAGGGCACAAGCCUCAGCAGUGUUUCCUAAUUUAUAGCUCAAGGCAGCUCCCUGCUCUGGCACUCAGGCGGUCUCUACUGGGUUCCAGAGGGCAAUGAGCAAACUGAGGGCCUAGGUAUGUAAUCUGGGGUUCUCAGUUGUCCAGUGCUGCUGGACAGGUAAAAAACAGGUGUCACAGUGACCAACAGUGUGGAUAGACAGCAGGGUGAAAGGGUGUGUGGAGCUCCCUUCUUUAAUAGCGCUGCAGUGACACAUAUGUUAUUAGCAUGUGACUGGAUAAAAAGUUUGAAAACAAUGGGCUGCUGAUUGUUCUCCUCACUCUUUAGGUCUUUUAGUUCAUAGCACUCAAAGAGUGUACUGUCUACCUUAAAAUAGAAUAGAUAUAGGUAUUAAAAACAAACAAAAGAAACCAAAGGAAGAAAAACCUCAUCAACCAACCUAUCGCUCAUUAGCUGAGAAAAGCAGCUUUAUGUUACUGUCCAUUUAAGACCUUACUAACGCAGAUUUCUGUAUAUAUACAGAAUUACUUGUAAUGAGUAAUGGGCAGUAUAUUUAUGGAAUCAAUAUUAAAUUGGCCCUUAAGUAGUUUAAAUUCCUUUGAAGCAGAUUCACAAGGAACACUAGGGCACUCUGACAUCCAGUUGGUACCAAGCUGGGGUCAACGUUACCGAGAGUGUAACUAAUUUUAACACAUAGAUAGACCUGAUUGUAAGAUGGAAACUCAUCUGACCUAUUUUGGAUUUCUAGUUUUGGGUAAGAUGUGCUAUACACUGAAGUGCCUCUUUUUCACAACUCAUUUUUCCAUGGCUUACUCACUGGAGACUUCAGGUUUUCAGCAUCUGUAGUUAGUUUGCAUAAAUCCUACCUCAGAGUCCAAAUAGGAGCUGGGAAUAUCAUCACUAAGUAUUAUGCUCAUGUUGCAGUGCGGAGUCUGAUUUGUUGGAGCUGGUAAUAGGUAACUGUGCCAGGGUGUGUUCCUGUGUUCAUUUCAGGAUAAGCAGUUUUCUGCCUUCUUUGAAACAAUGUGAUCACUACAGAAGUCAGCCCUACAAAAUCCAGGGCCAAACUUUCUGAAAGGGCUUCAAUACCCAUCUCCUCUGGAAACGAUGAGAAAUAGGUGCUUAAUUUCUUCUUGAGGCGGGGACUGUUUCAUGUCCAUGCAGGGCUGCAUUUAAUGUCAGGGGGCUUCGAGUUUAUGCAAGUAGUGCUCUUUCAUAAAAUCCUGGUAUCUGAUUGACAUAUAUUUGAGCUUUGCCUGUCACUUCAAAUCCAUUCUCAACUUUUGUCUUGCUAUUCAAUGUCACUUCUAGGUUGAAGUGCAUUUUUCCGGCAGCUACACAGCAGUUUCUAUGGGUUAAUCAUAGGAUGGCUUGGGUUGGAAGGGAUCUCAAGGAUCAUCAAGUUCCAAACCAAGUUAACACAUAUUUUGUAUGAAAUAGUGCAGUAAACAAAUUCAUAAUGUGUCUAUUGAAAGAAACUGUGAUAUAAGUUGAUUAACCAUUGUAUCCACAUCCUUAAGGGAAUUUCAAUAAAAGUCACCUGAUUCUAAAGGACCCCUAACUACGUAAAUGAGAAUAGGAUCACCUUUAAGCAUCAUGAACACUGGCUGAAAUUUAAUGGUCCUGACUUAUACAGUUGUGUAAAGAAAAGGAUUUUAAUUUUUCUUAUUGCUGUUAUAAUUCAUGAAAGUGUUAGAGCUCUCACAUCAGAGUAAAAAUGUCACUAAAACAUCAUUAGUUUGGGCAGAAAUAUAAUUAGUAUAAUGGGCAUAUACACUCGGAACAGCUGCUUUUUUGACAACAUUAAAUCCAUAGUCACUUUUAUGCAGAUGACCAAAAAUAGUAAUAAUAAUAGUAUUACUUUUCUAUCAUGAAAUCCCUUUCACCAACACAGCAGAGUGUGCAGAAUUGUACAUUCUAAGACCUGUUUUUUAAGAGGUAAGAAAUUCUGAAUUGAAACACUUCCGGAAAAAAAAAAAAAAAAUCACUACUUAUAGGAAAACAAAGCAAAACAAAGAGACAAACCCAUGACGGUCCUACAUUCUGCUACGAUUCAGCUCCUUCAUCACUGGCAAGAUAUUUGCUCCAGCAUGGUUUUCUCAGAUAGAACAGGCUCUCUGUAACAUGCCCAGGCAUAACUGACCUGGGGGAGGACAUUCUUACCCCAAUCCCUAAAGUCUUCCGAGGCCUGACAUAUCUUUGACCUACUUUAGAGUGAGCAGGAUAUCUAAUGCAGUUUAGAUUCAACAGAUGUUCAAGAGAUAAAAAUAGAGGAAGUGAGACGCAAUUCUUCACCAGAAAAAAUGCAAUGCCUAACAUACAAACACAUUCCAAUACAUUCUCAAUCUUCAAAAAAUUCUUGGUAUUUUGAUGUUGAAUGUCCUUGCUGUACCAGGCAUGUUACUCUUCUGUCCAAUAGGAGUUUCAGAAGAGGUCAUAAAAACAUCCUGGAGUCUUGUCUUUGCCCUUGUAUGCAAUAACAUGACUGCAUGCCAAUGUAUAUGUUAAAAAUACAGAGGAAGAAACAAAGAGACCGAGUCAGUGCUUCAAAACAACAUCUACAGCCAUGAUUAGAGCAGUCCUCAGAGUUCAGCUCUCCAGUCUGCUCCAUCUGGAGAACGUGAAAUCCCUUGUCACAUCUCACAUUGUUUCAGGAAGUGAUGGCAAAAGUCUGAAGUGGGCUCUGGCCAAGGCCAUGGCCAUUCAGCAAGGCCAGCAGGCCUGGCUCCCUGCCUGUGGACAGAUGCACAGCUGACAUCUGUGUCCUAUUUGGCCCUCACUGCUGGAGUAACCCCACCGAUAGGCUCUCAGUCUCAGGCAGGGAAAGGUUCUAAUCAAAACAUUCUAUCCACAGUAAAGAUAAAAUGGAGUGGUUUUGUGCAGCUGUGUGUGCAUGAGUGCAUUCGACUGCUGAAACUCUUAGAAAGAUUAGAUACAGAAUAAGUAAUUUUUCCCCUUUUUAAAAUUUCACACUUAAUUUAAAGCUAUGAAUUUCCAUUUAAAACACUUUGUUCACCAUGUGAACCAUAAACAGUUUAUGCAAUAAUGCAUCCUCUGAAACCAAAACACUGUUUCUGUGAGUAGUGGACUGGCAUGGUGAAUGCAUGAUCCGUGUAUAUACAGAGUGGUUAAACAAAUAAGCACUUGUGGUUAUCUAAAUAUUAUGAAGAGUUAUCUUCUGCAAAAGGCAUUUCUAUUUUUCUUCUUUUGUGUAAUGACUUAAUACCAAAAUAUUAUUAAAUACAUUAAAAAACAAAACAAAACAAAACACCCACAGGUACAUAUUCUGCAAGUCAAGAAUAUAUUAAAUGCAUUAUGCUCUGUUUACCAGAAGUAAUGAUCUUAUGCUGACACAGUUCAUCCUAAAAAUAUGCUUUCUAAAAUAUUGUCUCACAAAUGAAAAAAUGGGGACACACAUGAAAAUUAUAGCUGAAUAAUUGCAUUUAUGGCCUAAAGUUACAACAGCCAGAAAAGUCGCAGAUAAGACAGGGCAUGCUUUUUACUGCAGAAUUUCCUGACUGUUUGGUUUCUAUCUCAUCCUUAAUGCUAUCUCAGUGCUAUUUUAGCCUGUGAAUUGAAUUUUCUUUUAAUUUGAGCAGAUCAUAUAUUCAUUUGUAGAUGCUCUAUCUUCAUCAAUCAAUACAUUACGCCAGGCAGCUUCAUCUCCUCCUGAAAGAUAACCUUGGAUUAUGUCAUGGCUCAAUUCCGCAUUGCCCCUGCAGAGAUAAUGAAUUCGCACAUGUAAGAGGAUCAUUUACCAAUGGGGGUGGGAUGCUGUUUUGAGCAUAUCAUUUCCAUCUGCCACAGAAUGAUUCCAUUUGCACAAAUCAAUCUCCUGGAGGAGGAUUUCUUAGCUACAGUAAGCACACUGUAGGCACUGUGUAGCAGAGUGUGUCGUCUGACAGGAGAGAAAGCAGGGAUCACAUUGCUGUUGCCCCUGAAAGUCAUAGCUUUGCUUCCCCUCACACCAAGCUCGAGAACAAUUCAAGGAUGGGGCAAACAAGGCCUUCCUUCUCCUUUUGAGGGGCUGUGGCUCUUCAGAGGUGAGAGGAGGAAUGCUUUCUUGUUCGGGUGGUCUGGUACAAGCACAGACAUAGCUGAACCACUUCCAAAAAGGCUCAGUCCUAACUGUGACAAACUCUGUCAGAUGCAAAAACAGGUACUGCUGUGAGAUGGCCUCUUUCGUACAGACUUAAGAUUCCAUUUAAUGGCUCCCAGAGGAGAAUUGAGCCAGUAUUUAAUUAAUGUGACUAAAAUUAUGCAUUUCAUCAACUGUACACCAUAUUAAUCGCACAUAUCACAUUGAAAAAUGAUGCUCUUCAAGCAACUUCGCUUUUAUGGAGUAAAGUUUGCAAGAGCUAGUGCAAAUGAAUGCCUAAGAAAGGCGUGGGCUCCCGGUGUGAACAAGGAACAGUCACAUACCAGUUCAGUGACUGCAAGUCAGGCAUCAAUAGCCAAUGUAAAGUAGAUCAUAUUACAUAUUACACCAGUUAUCAUAUGCCAGCAAGGACAAAUUAUGCACAAGGAGAAAGGAAUGAUAGCAAUAGCUGAGUGUCUUAUGGGCUAUGAGUAUUUGCAUCCCCUGCAAAAUUUUGGAAGAAUUGCAUCUGCACUUGUUCUGGUGUUGUCCUCCAUCUUAGGCACGAGACAGUGGUGAGUUUGCAAGAGCAGGACAGGACCUACUUGAGUUGUGUGGGUGCUGCUUAGUGGAGCCACCUUUCUUCCCAAGUGCCUGUAUGUGCGUAUAGCUCAAAAAUCAUGGGUAAAGUACGGUUUCAAGGAACUCACUGGAUCCCGCCAUUUCAGUUCUAAGUGUUGCAAAGAAAACAAAGGCUCCCUCAGUUCAUUUGCAACCAUAAAUUUCAUUUUCUAUAUAGACCUCUGAAGACCUGUAGCGUGUUUCUAGGUGUAGCUGCUGUUGGACUGGAAGUUUCUGUGGCUUCUCCACUUACAUGGAUUGUCAUAGUAUAUGCAGGGUCAGAAGCAACCUUUGUCUUGGUGGUAUAUUGUGCGCAUUCAUGCAAUGUGUGGGGAGGACAGAAGAUCUCAAUUUAGUGCAAAUUACAAAUUACAGGCAAACAUUUCAUUUGGUAUCCUUUCACAUUCAUAUUCAGAAAAAAAUUGUAUUUUUUUUACACAAAGCCCACUUUUUCUGUCGUAUUUCAAUCUAUUGCAUGUCAUUGUUCAGUCCACAUUGUGUAAUGCUGUGAUCAUAUCAGCUGUCAUAAAGGAUAAUUUAGUAAUAACAAAAUGUGUCCUGAUGCAGCUUGACAAGAUGAAAUUUGCAAAAAAUAAAUAUGGUUCCUGGCCAAUAUGCAUUCACUGUAAUGACUUCAGGCAUCCCUCCCUUAAUGAAUUACAAACCAACAAUAGUCUUCUGAUUGGUUUUUGGCUGCAACAAACAGGGAAUGGUAUGACUAUUAAAUAUCUAUGGGACAUACUUCACACUGGCGUACAGACUUAUGGAGAGGUGACACAUAUACCAUGUAGUUCUUAACAGGUUAUCCUGAUUACUUCUUCUGGUUCUCACAGGUAGGCAAAAAGUAUGAAUUCACUGGAGCAGAUUUUUCUUUUGGAAAAACAUAAAUCAAUCUGAAUUCAUUGAAACUGUGUUUUUUUUUUAAGAGAAAGUGUUCAUAAAUCUUGGAGAUAACUUUUAUUUUUUUAAAAGAUCUAUAUUUUAUGACAGACAGUUUAAAUUUGCACCUGAGACCAUAAUAGUUACUAUGAAAGGAGAAUGGAUAACAAAUGGAAUGGAAGGACUCCCAUUAAGCAUAAAAUUACUCGACAAGAACCACCGUGAAUCAAUUAAUCAUAAUGUAACAGGACUUUAAUUUUGGGGCAUUCUCAAAAUCCAAAAUGUUUACAUCAUUUUUCAUUGUAACAAAUAUGAUUAUCAUUGUUUACAGCUGAUGAAACACAUGAUUUUUAUCACAGUAAUUAAAUACUUGUUCAAUUGUUUUGAUUUUUUUUUAAAUUUAUUUUCUAGUAGUCUUCAAAUUGAAUUCUAAGGCUAUCUAUAAGGCUGUCUAAAGGAGACUGUGACAAUGAUGCCCUUCCACCCUUUAGAUCGUGUGCAAAAAGGAUCAGAAAAAUGAAUUUACAGGACAGCAUGAUCAUGCAAGACAUAUCUGUAGUUUAGAGUAAGGCUUGGAUCCAGGUUUGUUGCAGAGAAAUAACAUAAGGCAUUUAGGACUACAGUAAGACUAUUAUAAAUAGAUAGUUUUAUUUCAUAGAAUCAUAGAAUGGUUUGGGUUGGAAGGGACCAAUAAGAUCAUCUAGUUCCAAGCUCCCUGAUGUAAGCAGGGACACCUCCCACUAACCAGGUGCUCAAAGCCCCAUCCAGCCUGGCCUCAAUGCCUACAGAAAGGAGGCAUCCACAACCUUGCUGGGCAACCUGUUCCAGUGUCUCACCACCCUCACAGUAAAUAAUUUCUUCCUAAUAUCCAGUAUAAAACUACCUUCUUCCAGUUUAAAGUCAUUUCCCCUCAUCCUGUUGCUACGUGCUUUUAUAAAAAGUCUUUCCCUAGCUUUCCUAUAGGCUCCCUUCAGGUACUGGAAGGCCACUAUAAGGUCCUCCUGGAGACUUCUCUUCUUCAGGCUGAAGAACCCCAACUCUCUCAGCCUCAUUUGAAUGAGAAUAUUAUUUUGUCACCAGUGCUUCAGAUUUGUCCCUCAGUUAUUUAUCUCAGUAUUAUUUAAACAUUCAAAAUUAUUGACACCUUCAUAUGCCAGCUAACAGGACUGCAUAUUAUUCAAGAACAGGUAGAUACAGAUAGGUAUAUUAGCUGUGUGACUGCAGAGGGCAGACUUGGCAUCACCAGUAUUUUUAUUUACAUGGAUUCACUCAGUAAGGAAUGCUAAUUAUUCAAAUAGCCUAAAAGAAGGUUCCUGAUUAUUGUCCCAUGGAAACAAAUGAUGCCAAAACCAAUUUUUGAAGAUAAUUUUCUUUGCAUUUUUUUGCAGAUUCCUAUUAAACUAAAAUUUUGAAAUGUAAAAUAGAAAUAAGAGCUUAAAGAAAGAAAACACUGAGGGCACUAACUUGUUUCAAAUUUUAUUUUAAAACCAAACAAAAAAAAGAAAAAAGAAGAAAAAAUAAAAAGAAAAAGGAAAAGAAGAGAAAAGAAGAAAAAAGAAGAAAAAAGAAAAAGAGAAAAGAAAAGAAAAGAAAAGAAAAGAAAAGAAAAGAAAAGAAAAGAAAAGAAAAGAAAAGAAAAGAAAAGAAAAGAAAAGAAAAGAAAAGAAAAGAAAAGAAGAGAAAAGAAAAGAAGAGAAAAGAAAAGAAGAGAAAAGAAAAGAAAAGAAGAGAAAAGAAAAGAAGACCAAUCAACCAACCAAACAAAACAGCCCUUUUUUUGAGCAGCCCAACUUACCACCCUUACCAUAGUGAAUCAGAUGCAGUGAACAAUAAAACCCACAAAUGCCUGACACACAUAUUGCUGAGAAGGCUUAAGGAAAUACCAAAUGCAGAUCUUCACUCUCUGACAAGCAUGUGCUUCUAGCAUACUGUGUACUUCCAGCUCUGUAAGUUUGGAUAAUUCCAUUUGUGAGGUAGUUUUAAUGCAAACCAUAUCUAGAUACCCAAGUAGGUGGCUCUCUAUAUGCCAGACACGGUGAUAUGUUUCAUUAAACAAAGCUACCCUUCUUUGGAUAUACAAUAUUUUUUUUAGAGAAAUAUAUAAGAUCUCAGUACUAGUUGCAUUAUUUAGAGUUUGUAUACCUCAUGGAAUGUGACAUAAAUAUUAUUUCUUUAAAGCAACCAGAAAAGGCUAUUUGUCUCUUUUAGUAUGACUCAUACAAUAAUUCAAUUUACAUACUUAAAUCAAAUGAAUCGUCUGUCUCAUGCUAACUUCUUUCAACCUCUUUUAUUAUGAUAUAAGUUGUUUGUUUUGUUUCCAAAAUCUAAUACUCCAUCUCCCUUGUACUAUCAGUGUGUAUGAAUAAUGAAUAUUUGGUGCCUUUUAAUACCUCUUAGUUUAUCAUAACAGGCAAUGUCUUACAUCACAGCCAAUUUCAUUGAUUAUAUGCAAUUUACUGAAUAUGUAUGUCAUCUAGCCUGUAUUAGGCUGGGUUAUGACUGUAUAUAUAUGAACACUGCCAGCUGCUUUAGCACUUACAAGCUCCUGAUUAGCCAAAUUACAGUCUUGGACUUAACAAGACACAAAGAUAUGCUUUGUGCUCCUUAUGAUACUGCUCUUUGGAGAAAUAUUUUAGUACCUUUGGAACCGGCCAUAGCAUUGAAAACAUAAAAGCUAAUGGCCUUUAUGACUGAGAAACCAUGAAAGAAAUGCUGAUGUGCACAGUAAGUUAAAAUUAACACAGGUGCUUACAAUGCUUUUCCAUCAGCACAAAGUCCUUGAUUUAGAAGGCCUUAAGGUAGAUGGUUAAUUACUUGCUGAAUCAGGUUGAGAAUGCUUAUACAAAAGCCUUUGCUAAUUUGGAGGAAGAAAAGUUCAAGGCAAAUAUGUUUCAAGCUUUGGAAUGUGUAUGGAACUUGUGACAAAAUGAACAGAGUAAUUCCUGUAUCAGUGGGAGGCACUUUCCAUGCCUGUGGCCCGCAGGUUACCUGUGGGUUUUAAAAACAUGAUCCUCCAUCCUUAAUUCUUCCAAAGCAAGACUAUUGGUGGGAGGACAACAUCAGGAUCUUACCUGUGAGGCAGGCAGGUGUGGAUUUAUGAGGUGUAGAGAGAUUAGCUGCCAUUCAUCGUUACCAACCUGUGGCUCUUUCUAAACCUCAGGGUUUGGAGGGAAGGGGGAGCUAGGAGAUUGAAAAGCCUUUCCACAGAUAUUGCUGUAGUUUCCAAUACUUGCUUCCAGUACCAAGGCAGCCUCAGUUUUAUGGGUUGCUGGCUUCAAGUGGGCAUACUUUAUGGCCAGUCAAGUUCCAGAAUGUCCAGUUGCCUCUCUGAAGGGAUCAGCUUGGCCUUUCCUGGGGGAUCAAGGUAGGCAAUGGACCAUGGAGAGGCUUUUGUUCCAAUGGGAGCUGUCCUGGAGCCAGAAGCAAGGCAGAAGGAAAGAGGGAGAAGUUCUCAUCCUGGGCAACUUGGCUUUCUCAUGUGGCCAAGAGCUCUUUUUUUUUUUUUUUUUUUUUUUUCCAUGGGUAAGCCCAGUGUGCUGAUGAACCAUGACAGAUUAUUCAAGAGCUUGUUUCCAAGGAAUAGUAAACAUAAAGGGCAGUGGGGUUCGUGAGUUAACAGUUGCAUACAUCAGAGUGUGGCACUCCUCUGUAGGUAUGUGACUUAGGAAAUCAGAGAAAGGUGCUGAAAAUCUUCCCGACAGAAAGCCCUGGUACACACAAAAAUUUCCAACUAUAUCCCAUCACCAGUGAUGAGGUCCCAAGUGCUGGCCCACAUCAUCGUGAUCGGGAUGGAAGAGCAAAAGAAGGCAGGGGAACCCGGGUCAGGUGCAGCUGUGGCCCUACUUAGGAAUUUUGUUGUAGAGCCAUCAGAGAAUUUCUUCCCUAGGAAACAUGGUGAGGUCAUGCAAGUGCUCAGAUCAGGCUCCAGUUGAGUCUUAUACUGAUUAGCAAAAGAUUUAAUUUCACUCUGAUUAAAAAAGAGCAGAUGAAGAGGUAUGCUGAAUAAUCCCUACAGGCAUGUAUCAGCUCCUAGGCAAACCUUUUUAUUCUGCUAUGGUGUAUGACAAAAGCUCUAAAUUUUAACUUGACAUUUUUUUUCUGAAGGGCCCUUUUCCAUAAAUUUCCCAGGCUCUUGUUUUUGAGAUUGUUACUGUGCAGAAAGAAAACAUCCUUGCUGCUUGCUUAUUAGAAUAUAUUUAUUUAUCUGUACCAUACAACAAACCUUAUUUAUUUUCCUACAUUCAUAUAGUAAAUCCUGUAAAUAUGCUCUUAGUAAUCACCAACAUGAUUUUCAGGACUGUAAUUCAUAAAUGAAACUCAUGAAAAAUAUUUUUGUCCGUUUUAAAUAACUCUACACAUUUAAUACAUUGAGUCAUAUGCAAAUUUGAUUAAGGGAGAUAUUAUCUUCCUCUUGCUGGAAGUUUCACUCAUAAAUGAGAAGAUUAAUGUUUGUGAACAACUUUUCAAAAAAUCAGCUCGUCACAAGUUCUCUUUCUGCCUGCAAGAAAUUGAACUCCAAAAUAGGAUGGCACAAGUUAUGUUUCUACAUUUUCCAUUCCUUAGUAUAUCCACUACCACAAGAAAAUGUUGAAAUACUUCUGAACUAAGAUACAUCUGACGGGUUCCAAGGGCUAUAAAGCAAUGUUCUAGCUUAAGGAACACACUGUUAGACACAGAGCUAUUGUUUAAAAGUGAAACAACCCACAACACACAAAAAAGUUGUGGACAGCUACAACUUACGUAAGCUAGUAGCCAAACAAUGGGUUGUUCUCAUACAACAUUAACACUGACAUAAAUUCAUGGAUUUUAAGGGUUUCUGUCAAACAAAGAUUUUAGAACAUUUUGCUGGAAAUAAAUGCAUAGAUACAAGAGUUCAUCUAUGCGUGCAUAUAAUCAGAGCAAUGGUAUACAUACAUAUUUCCUAGUAAAAGAGAAGUAUACACUAAUGUGAAGAAAAAUAUAUUGCUCAAUAGUCUUUUGAAAGAAUUUCAUCAAAGUCCCUUUGACAUUUAAUAUCAUGGUGAUCUGUAAUCAAAUCUGGGACAAAUUUAGCACUCCCAUGUCUUCUUUAUUAAACGUAGGUGGUUUUCCUGCAUACCUUAAUAAAACAAUGGGAAUAGGACUUCCACUCUAGUUCAUGAGGGCAACUCCAGAAAUUUCUGAAACUCAUUCCUAAUUUAUUCCAUUUGCAGCUGUUUCUUUAAGGUUUCUCUUCUUUUAUCAGAAGAAACGUAGGAAUAAGGAACACUUCCAAGUAAUAAGUACACACCUAAUUUAUUACACCAGGAAAAGCAAUGUUCAGAGGCUCCAUGAAAGAAAUCUCACUCAAGUAGAUGAGUUGUUUCAUAUAAUGGCUUUUUGUUAUUGUUGUGCUUUGCUUUUUGUUUUCUGUUUUUUAUUUUUUGUCAGCUUCUCUCUUUAAUAACGGGCUUUUUUCUUCAUUGACUUCUUGCUGAACUCCUUUGUAGAUCUGUCACAUCAGAUUAGCUUGUUCAUGUUCACAAUGCCCUGUCUUCUGGAGAGUUAUGCCUGUAAGGAGAAUAAAACUCAUCCCUCAACUUCAAGCAGACAGAAAACACACCUCUGUCCAAGUUUCUCCAAGGCCCUUUUGUACAUAGAGCAGCGUGUUUCCAUAACAGAUGUUAUAAUGACAUUUCUCUCCCACUGCUUUCCAUGUGAGACGAAUGUGAAGGAGGUUCUUCAGAGGAGGUUUUUUUUUUUUUUUUCCAGUUAAACAAGGAGAACAGACACACUAGCACUCUAAAAUAUUUUUGAGCCACCCCUAUUGUGCAUCCAGUGGUCAGGAGCAAACUAAAUGCAUCCUGGGGCUUGAGGGUGACUUUCAGCCUGACAGAUUGAGGUCGUCUAGCACAGUUCGCCAAGUACUUGCACGUUCAGUAAAUCUCUUCAUUAGGGUACUCCUCCCUCUUUAGAUCUCCCAAGCUAGAAAAGCACAUUUGCAAAGACAAGUUGCUGCUGGUUGAAGCCCUUGGGCCAGUGAGUGGGUGGAGUGGCUGCCAUGGUUGUGUAAGGCUCUGGGCCACACAGCAAAAGCAGGGACCAAAGUCACUCACUGUGGAGCAGGGGUGAGCCUGGGGAGCAGACAGGAUGGCCAGCCAGAGGCUGCUGCCCACAGCAAGCUCUCCUUUUUGUGCUGUGGGACAGUUCAGUCAUUAUCUUCUCCCUCACCCACUCCCACCCCAUCUCUUUUUUAAUUUAACACAGAGGAUGAAAUUUUGGCUCAAUGUAAAUAGGAUUUUUACCACUGAUUUCAAUAUGGCAAGAAUUUCAUCUAAACCCUCCAUGCCUCACUGAAGACAAUAACACAAAGAACACUAUUUUGGAACGGAGAAAGGCACCGUAUUUGUGAUCUGCUUUGUUUAUUGUGUUUGGGGGCUUCAAGAUGUAGUCACCCACCCACUUCUUUAUUAAAUGUUAAUUUGGCUUUUGAAAGUUUUACAAGCUACAGUAAAACAAUAAUUAAAAGUUUGUACGCAAUUUCCAUAGCUGGUUUUCAUUCCUCAGGGAGUAUUAAUUCUGGUUUAAUUUGUUUUUCAUUUUCAUUGUGCAACUAAACACAGUUUGUUUUUAAAAGGAGGAUCAAACUGAUGCUGAAAUAUGCAUACAUGUGUUGGCAGGCACUUCUCAAGAAGGACUGCAACCUGUGAACUUGGACCUCAAACAACAAAUGUGCAGAGCUCACAUGAACUUGAAGUUGCCCUUUUUUUUUGUGACAUCUAUAAACAUUUAUGAAGCUUUGUUUUUAUUCCAGUAAAUCUAUGUUGUUAUUUUGGGUCUUUUAAUAGUGUCUAUUUAUAUCGUGAAAUCAUGACAACUGCGUUGUCUUUCUGGAAAGCCACAGGUCAAGGGUCUGCUAAGCAAAUACUAACACAUGUGAGUAACUUCCCUCAUAUGAAUAAUUAGACUGAUCUUAACAGAGUGGUGUUUUUAGGAUCAAGCUCCCAAUAUUUUGACAUACUUCCUGAAAUGUUUUGUAGAUAGGAGCUGUUGACUUUCAUAUGGUGAAAAAAUAAUUUGAACGCCAAAAAGCCCCUCCAAAAGAAGGGAACAUAUUUGGGUCAUCAGGUCUUAACAAUUACAGUUUCACGUGUUAGCUUUCUUUUCCUAGGUACAAGAAGUGUUGGAAGAACAUUUACUCAGAAGAGAUCAAGUAGAAUUACUGUCAAAGGUUUGUGUAAGUUAGCAUAUAUAAUGCUUCCCCUGGUUGUAUGCAAAAACAUUUGGAGAUCUCUGUAUUUUUUUCCCCUCAUCUUCUAGGAAAAAUGAUGGAAUUAAUUACUACAACUGGGAUAUAUUAAAUUUUAUAACUUAUAUCAUGUACCUUUGCCAUGAAGAAAUAGAAAAAUGUAUACAUGGGAACAUCCCUUUAAUGAUAAGAACUACAAAAAUUCAUGCUUCCUAUGAUAAAUAUUAUUCUGUAUUUAAGGCUAUGCCUGGAUAUACUUCCUCUGUAGUGCAUGUGUUAUGAAAGUAAACAGAAUUCUGAGACAGAAUUCUGAUCAUACAAAGUGUACAUAAACUUGAAGUUGUGUGGAAUAGGCAUCUUUCCUUAAAAAGAGAAUUUCCUCAUCAUCUACUGAGAUAUUAAAUUGAUUCUUGGAAAGGUUUUUGUGAAUACACUAAUCCAUUUUUUCCUGCCAUUUGCACAGAUUCUUGGUGUGUUAGAAUGCAAUUCCAGUAAAAACUUCUCUCAGAAAAGCAUGUCAGGAACAAAUUAGCUCUUUACUCUUUAUUGAAAUAUAUUCAAGGGUUUGCCAUGUUGUCUUCUGUACCUUAUUCUCAAAAUAAAUAUUUUAUACUUAUGCUUAACUGCUGCUAGUAAAUUGCAGAAAUUUUUUGCUUAAGUUCAUUCUUGCAAUAAAGGUGGAAAAGUUUUGUAAUAGCUUGAGUGCAAAUUAAUAUCUAUGAAUGUCUGUAUCUUUUUCAUUUUUAACCUGAUAUUAAUUAUUUCCUUUAUUUUACCUUGCUAAAAUAUCCUGCUUGAAAUAUUUCUUUAAGUAAAAUUCCACAAAGCUUGCAAAGAACCUGCAGUCCAGGUAGCAUACCAUUCCUGAUGGCAGAAAGAGCAUACUGUCCAUUAAUGUUGAGUCCUGUGCGUGGUCUGUCCGGUGAUACACAAUGUCAUUUAAGACAUUUCAUCAUUCUCUGCUUGAGCACUCUUCUCUAAUCUGAUGAGGUACCCUGGGAAGAAACAAUGAUAGCCAAGGCAUUAAAAUGUAAUCAAGAUAUGCAAAUUCAUGUCUAAAUGUGAUUUGCUUGGAAAGAGAAAUUAAUCUAGGCAUGGCCAAAUAAACAGUGUGUAAUAUGGAUAAUUAAUCACCAAAUUAGCAGCUGUAGUCCCAUGAGAAGAUUAUGUAAAUGAAAAAGGCCCCCAUCUACGGUCCCAAUUAGACUACUUAAUACCAAACUCUAAACAAAACACAGCCCCUGGGAGCGCCAUAAAAUAAGGAAGUGAGUCAGUCUGAGUGGGUCAUUCUCCAAGUUUCACAAGCACGUUUCAUAACUACGUUAUUUUUCCUGAUUUACAGAAAGUAAUUUAUCAGUCAGAUAUAUCAGGCUCACUGAACAACUUGUAACCUUGAAAUUCCACUGAAGUUGCUUUACACAAGCCUAAACUUCUGUGCAUACAACCUAAAUCAGCAGUUAAAGAAGACAGGUACUAGAGUGCAAGUCCUUAAUCCCAGGGCCCAGAGUAAUAGGGAUCAAUACUGCAGGUAAAGGUGAGAGCUCCAGACAUAUGCUAGGUGCCCUCUGUGUAUUUGGAAAUUAUAUCCAGCAGUUUCAAUUACUGCUUUACACUUACAUUUCCAUAACAGAUCAGUCCUAUCUUGUUUCAGAAAAUGGUAUUUUCUCCAUAUUUCCAAGUACAAACCUUCCUGAAGUAAGUACUUUCCACUGGUUAACCAAAUUGAGGAUACCUUAUGUGAAUUAGGCUUGGGUAUGGUACUACCUGGCUCAUGACAGCAGAUAGUUUUCCCUGAGGCUGUGCAUCACACUAAGACCAGGACCCUAUCUGGAAUACAUAAAAUAUUAUCAAGUUAAGGAACUUGACCCAUAGGUGAAGGGAUCUAUUCAGCAUUUGAUGUACAGCUUCCUUGAGACACUUCAGUAGGUCUGAUAGAUUCAGCUUAACACUGACUUGACACAGAUGGAAAUAUGUUGACUUUUCUGGACACAAUUUUAGAUGUUUUUUGAUGAAAAAAUAAUAAUCUGACUCUUGUAUUCAUUUACAGUCAAAGCAAUUGUUCAAAUAUCAAAGUUGGCAAGGGAUUUGAAUUUCCAUCUUCUGAUGAACUUUACAUCAUUAAUUCCAUGGAAAGGAUCUUUGUUCAGUGUAGGACAGAAACUGCACAGUGCAUUCUCAGCCAAGAAAAGCAGAGCUUCGCACUUGUGAUCUCUGGUUAUCUGUUACUAUAAGCUUUUGAAGGUGGAAGAUACCCCUGAAAAUACAACACUGUUGCAAACUAACUUAAGGUAGAACUGAUCUGAACAGUCACUGGGAGAGAAUACAAACUCCAUUCGUGGAAAAGAGGAGUUUCCUUUUUUUCUGAAAUGCUUGUGUUGGUCUUUCGAUGCUCUGGACUCCAAAUGACUUUCUACUUACUCUACAUCUGUUCAGAAUAAACUGCACUCAUUUUAUUUAUUUAUUUUUUACUCCUUGUGAAGCUAUUUGUGGAUUCUUUAGGUAAGGUUUUCAAAUAACUUCUUUGUACAGCUAUGUAACACUUGUUAUAUAGCUCCUGUGCAAGGCUUCCAAAGCUGCACAGUAACAAGGUUAGUACAGAAUAUUUUACUCUUCUCACAGUUAACUGACAUACUGAGUGCAGUAGUUUCAUGUUGUGUUAUCAGUACAAUGAGGUAUAUUCCUUUUGCAAACUACAGCAUGAGUUUUCUUGCUAAUGCCGAUUUUGUUUUU